RNAcentral lists this ribosomal RNA (433 nucleotides) under uncultured bacterium. RNAcentral describes it as "partial 16S ribosomal RNA". It matches the Rfam family "Bacterial small subunit ribosomal RNA", at positions 29 to 507 of the family's 1533-position model. The record is from RNAcentral.
AACGAACGCCGGCGGCAUGCCUAACACAUGCAAGUCGAACGAGACCUUCGGGUCUAGUGGCGCACGGGUGCGUAACGCGUGGGAACCUGCCCUUAGGUUCGGAAUAACUCCCCGAAAGGGGUGCUGAUACCGGAUAAUGUCUUCGGACCAAAGAUUUAUCGCCUUUGGAUGGGCCCGCGUUGGAUUAGCUAGUUGGUAGGGUAAAAGCCUACCAAGGCGACGAUCCAUAGCUGGUCUGAGAGGAUGAUCAGCCACACUGGGACUGAGACACGGCCCAGACUCCUACGGGAGGCAGCAGUGGGGAAUAUUGGACAAUGGGCGAAAGCCUGAUCCAGCAAUGCCGCGUGAGUGAUGAAGGCCUUAGGGUUGUAAAGCUCUUUUACCCGGGAUGAUAAUGACAGUACCGGGAGAAUAAGCUCCGGCUAACUCCGUG